This 200-nucleotide unclassified non-coding RNA is filed under the name soil metagenome. RNAcentral's name for it is "partial contains internal transcribed spacer 2 and large subunit ribosomal RNA". The record is from RNAcentral.
GAUGUGGGGGUUGUUUGCAGGCUUUUUCAAUAAGGUCGGCUCCCCUGAAAUGCAUUAGUGGUAUCUGAGGCUAUUACUAAUAGGUGUGAUAAUAUAUCUAUGCCCUUUGGUAUGCUGCAUAAACAGAUUGCACUGCUUCUAACAAAGAAAAUCUUGAUGAAUUUGACCUCAAAUCAGGUAGGACUACCCGCUGAACUUAA